GAUAGAAAAAGUUAAUGUCUGUCAUAUAGGGAACUGUAUCUUUUGAUAGAGGCAAUAGAACAGAGGAAGAAUUUCAGAGACUUUGUAGGAAUGGUGGGCGAAUUCUGUUUGUCAUCAACUCCCACCUUCUCAAGGACAAAAAUCACUUUCACCAGCCUCAGGUUAGAGAAUAAGCUAUAGUCUCAGUUCCUUAUUGUCAGUUCAGGUAGGUACCAGCACAUCAGAGGCUUCUGUCUAAAAAUUGGGAGAGGAACAAGGCCCCUGACUUCUGUUUUAUCUCUUUCCAAAACAGAAUGGAAAUGUGUAUAGCACUUGCUAAGAGCUCUUUCUCAAUGACUAACCAAGUAAUUUGGGGGAGUGUCUUUAUCCAUUUUGUGUAGCUGUAAGAAAAUAUCUGAAACUGAGUAAUUUACAAAGAAAAGAAGUGUAUUUUGGCCUGUGGUUCUGGAGGCUAGCAAACUUGAGAGCACUGGACCAUCUGGCCAAGGCAAUGUGCUCUUUCACUUCAUGGUAGAAAAAGCAGAAGAGAACUAGCAAGUGCAAGAGGAGCAUGUGUGUGAGAGUAAGGGGCAGUGCCAGGCUUGCUUUAUAACAUGCUCGAGAACUGUCCUAUUCUCUUGAGAAAGACACUAAUCCAUUUGUGAGGGCAUUGCCCUCAUGACCCAAUCACCUCCCAAAGGCCCUACCUCUCAACACUCCUACAUUGGCAAUCAAAUUUCAACAUGAAGGGCUGGGGAAAUGGCUCACUUGGUAUACCGAGUGCUUGCCUUGCAUACAAAAGGGCCUGGAUUUAAUCCUCAGCACCACAAAAAAAAAAAAAAAUCAAAAUGAAUUUGGGCAGGGACAAACCACAUCUAAACCAUAGAAGCUGAAUUACUUUUGGGGUCUUAGUUUUAAAAACAAAUGGGGGUUGUGUAUAAUUGCAAGCAAUGUAGUAUAACUGCAGCUGUGAUUUUUAACCAGGGUUACAUAAGCAGAAUCUCUGAGAGGAAAUGUGUAGUUUGAAAAGGCAUAUAAUCACACUUGAUUAGUUUUUAGCCAUAAUACUUAAAACCUCAGAUAAUGGAGGAUCAAUAAUUUUGAUAUUUGUCAGAGGAUCUGACUUUACCCAUGAAUAACAACCAUUAAAAGGCCUUAAGCAGAAAGUAGCACCAUACAACUUGUUUUUAAAAAGGAUCUCUUUAAGUGUAAGUUAGGAGGGGGUUACAACUGAAGCAAGGAGGCCAGUGAGGAAGUUAUUUGUAGGAGAGACAGAGUAGUUCUCACCUUAUGUCUCUCAUCAAAUGCCAUUUCCCUAAGGAAGCCUUUACCCAACUGUCCAGUUGACACUAACCUUUUCCUGGACUUCUAAAUUCCAUAAAGGACAGAUAUCCCAGACUUUCCAAGAGACAGAACCAGAGGAUUGGCUACUCUACUCAAGAGACAGGAUAUGGACUCUUCUAUUACCUUCUCAGCUUUGUAACUCAGUUCACAUUCCUGAGCCUUCUUUUCCACAAGACCACAUCAAUGUCAGAAUUCAUCAAUGAAUGUGGUAAGAGAGAGUACCCAUUUUUGUAUAUUUUCUUUCAGGAAUCCAACCUUCCCCACAUUCCAUUCCAUUCUGUCAUUUACAACUUUUCAGGAGUAUCUUCCCCAAAGUCCUAUUUUCAUCAUCCCCUCCUGCUUAAUGGCAUUCCAUGUAAUCCUACUGCUUAUUGCACCCUCCUUCUAGAAGUUUCUUAGAACCUGGCCCAACUUGGAGACAAUGGGCUGUGGUGGAAGGGAAUGUUCUUAGAAGUUUAGAAAACCAAUGUUUCAGUUCCAACUCUGCCACCUGUGACCUUGAGCUGAUGCCUUCAUCAGCUCAGUCUCAUUGUCUGUAAAAUGAAGAUAAUAAUCAUUACCUUAUAGGAUUACUGGGAAGUAGUAGCUAGUGUUAUUUGGGGAAGGGUGUCAUACAGUUUAUUUUUAAUUUUUAAGCUCUUCUUAUUUGUUAGAUAUAAAUGACACUAGAGUAUAUUUUGACAUAAAUAAAUGGAGUAUAACUUAUUCUAAUUAGGAUCCCAUUCUUGUGGUUGUACAUGAUGUGGAGUUUCAAUGGUGGUAUAUUCAUAUAUGAACAUAGGAAAGUUAUGUCUGAUUCAUUUCACUGGCUUUCCUAUUCGUACCCCUCUCCCUUCCUUUCAUUCCCCUUUGUCUAAUCCACUCAACUUCUAUUCUUCUCCACCCCUCUCCCCAGUUGUGUGUUAAAAUCCACAAAUCAGAGAGAAUGUUCUUUGGGAUUGGUUUAUUUCACUUAGUAUGACAGUCUCUGAAUUCAUCCAUUUACUGGCAAAAGUCUUAAAGUUUGACACUCAGGUGAUCAGUGAGUGCAGUUUAAUUUUUCCCAGGAAAAUUUGCCCAACAAGGUCUAUAAUCUCACUUUUAAAAAUUUCAGAUAAAAUAGGCUUUAAAGGAAUUGGGGAGAUUAUUUCAAACUGAGACAGGAAAUUGUGUUGGCUUCAUGAGGAAGGUGGUAUUUGAAGCACAUAGAGAGAUCUAGGUCAGUAGGGGUGGUGGGCCUUAAACUGUAGAGGAGAUAAAACCAAAUCUAAGAAACAAAGUUGUUAGAAGAUGCCAGAGUAUCAUCUGUGUUAGUUAAAUAUCAAUGGUUCAGUUCUACAGUGGAUCAUCAAAGCCUCUUUUGUAUCAGGCCUUGUGCAUGCCAUUGGAGGGCUUUAUCUUCAAGGACUAUGUGAUUUAGUACAGAUGGAAACCCAAAUACAUCACACUGGGAUAAAUAGUAUAUUACAAAUAAG
This 2777-nucleotide long non-coding RNA is filed under the name Marmota monax (woodchuck). The record is from RNAcentral. Lineage: Eukaryota; Metazoa; Chordata; Mammalia; Rodentia; Sciuridae.